UGUAAUCGUAUACCAAAGUUGUUGCAGUUAAAACGCUCGUAGUCGGAAUUUGGCAGUUCCGGAUGUGUGCACGUCGUGUGCGCACUUCGCGGGGAUUGCUUUUGUGGUCUUGCGUAGGAUGAGGCACUUUUAUUAGUGAACGUCCUCACGCAACCACUUUUUACUGUGAGAAAAUCAGAGUGCUCAAAGCAGGCAUUUGCCGUGAAUGUAUUAGCAUGGAAUAAUAGAAUAGGACUUGGUUCUAUUUUGUUGGUUUGUUGGGACUGAGUAAUGAUUAAGAGGGACAGUUGGGGGCAUUUGUAUUUCGGUGCUAGAGGUGAAAUUCUUAGAUUACCGAAAGACAAACUGCUGCGAAAGCGUCUGCCAAGGAUGUUUUCAUUGA
Molecule: ribosomal RNA, 382 nt
Filed under: uncultured eukaryote
Lineage: Eukaryota
Description: partial 18S ribosomal RNA
Rfam family: Eukaryotic small subunit ribosomal RNA
Source: RNAcentral